RNAcentral lists this ribosomal RNA (503 nucleotides) under uncultured bacterium. RNAcentral's name for it is "partial 16S ribosomal RNA". It matches the Rfam family "Bacterial small subunit ribosomal RNA", at positions 30 to 523 of the family's 1533-position model. The record is from RNAcentral.
AUUGAACGCUGGCGGCAGGCUUAACACAUGCAAGUCGAGCGGGGUGAUGGUGCUUGCACUAUCACUUAGCGGCGGACGGGUGAGUAAUGCUUAGGAAUCUGCCUAUUAGUGGGGGACAACAUCUCGAAAGGGAUGCUAAUACCGCAUACGUCCUACGGGAGAAAGCAGGGGAUCACUUGUGACCUUGCGCUAAUAGAUGAGCCUAAGUCGGAUUAGCUAGUUGGUGGGGUAAAGGCCUACCAAGGCGACGAUCUGUAGCGGGUCUGAGAGGAUGAUCCGCCAAACUGGGACGGAGACACGGCCCAGACUCCUACGGGAGGCAGCAGUGGGGAAUAUUGGACAAUGGGGGGAACCCUGAUCCAGCCAUGCCGCGUGUGUGAAGAAGGCCUUAUGGUUGUAAAGCACUUUAAGCGAGGAGGAGGCUCUUUUGGUUAAUACCCAAGACGAGUGGACGUUACUCGCAGAAUAAGCACCGGCUAACUCUGUGCCAGCCGCCGCGGUAA